CAUCGAUGAAGAACGCAGCGAAAUGCGAUAAGUAAUGUGAAUUGCAGAAUUCCGUGAAUCAUCGAAUCUUUGAACGCACAUUGCGCCCCCUGGUAUUCCGGGGGGCAUGCCUGUUCGAGCGUCAUUUCAACCCCUCAAGCCCGGCUUGUGUGAUGGA
This 157-nucleotide ribosomal RNA is filed under the name Microsporum sp. JSC-2010a. RNAcentral describes it as "5.8S ribosomal RNA". The stretch from base 1 to 124 matches the Rfam family "5.8S ribosomal RNA", at positions 31 to 154 of the family's 154-position model. From Rfam's summary of the family: 5.8S ribosomal RNA (5.8S rRNA) is a component of the large subunit of the eukaryotic ribosome. It is transcribed by RNA polymerase I as part of the 45S precursor that also contains 18S and 28S rRNA. The record is from RNAcentral. Lineage: Eukaryota; Fungi; Ascomycota; Eurotiomycetes; Onygenales; Arthrodermataceae.